CCCCCUUCUUAACUUAAUUUGGGAAAAAUUGAUUUACCUAUAAGGAUAUAUGUAAAAUCGAUUUUAGAUUAACAAAACUUGCAGCAAUGUUGACCCCCAAACUAUCCGAUUUACAGCAGAUUCCAUUGAGUGUGUAGCGAAAGGUAAUAUCUUUGGUUAGCUUGCUUGUUAGCUGAACCGUGAAGUCAUUAUAAGGUCAGG
Molecule: long non-coding RNA, 201 nt
Filed under: Mytilus galloprovincialis (Mediterranean mussel)
Lineage: Eukaryota; Metazoa; Mollusca; Bivalvia; Mytilida; Mytilidae
Source: RNAcentral